Amphiprion ocellaris (clown anemonefish) is the source of this 953-nucleotide long non-coding RNA. The record is from Ensembl. NCBI's taxonomy places the organism in Eukaryota, Metazoa, Chordata, Actinopteri, Pomacentridae.
CAGCGAUUGGUCAGCCCAUAGUUUAUAUAGAAGACAGCGCGCUAGCGUAUCGAGUCUAUGUGUCGGCAUGUCUGGUAGCAUCUCUGGCUGCUGUUGACCUUGUUUUUGGAGUAAAACACGGUGGAAGCUGAAUUAGUGAGGAUGACUCCUGCUCCUGUCAUCUCUAAGCUCCUCACACAUCUUUACCUGCACAUGAGGAAAAUCACUCCUGUAGAAUGCAGUGGUUCAUCAGAACCUCUGGGAUGUCCUGUGGAUUCUGUGGAUCCUGUGGGUUGCAGGGUGGGUCCUACCUAGACCAGGCUGAUCCUGGACCAUCCCACAGAUGCUCCAUCAGAUCUGGAUGUGGGGAGUGUGGAACCCAGAUGUUCAGAGGGAGAUGAUGCCACAUCUGGUCCAGCUGAUGGAAGGUCUUGAAGUUCUCUGACUGGCCUCGACUGAAGAUGGUCGUCUCACUGGAUUUAAGAUGCACAAUGAGGGACGUCUGCAGCGACUGAGAAAGAGUCUCACCACAUCCUGACAUGAGGAAAAAGACUUUACUGAAGACUACAAUGAGGAAAACUAUCAGACAGCAGAUGGCUGCAUUCAAGGCUACAGGAGGAGCCCUACGAGGACGAGCCGGUCCACCUGAUGGCGGCCAGUCGCUGCGGUUCAAAGCCAACACCGACUACGUGGACUUCUACUGGACCACACGGAGGCCUUCAAACCGGACCAACAAGUUCAGCGACUCCCCGACUCGUGGGUCUGAGGACGCCGCCGAGCCUCGGCCCAGCCGGCCUCCUGUCUGUGGGUGUUUGAGUGCUGAGAGGUUUGUGGAUGCAUGUGAACAUGUCUGUGUUGAAACAGCAGCUUUGGACUCAGUAACGCCGGGAAAAACCAAGAGCUCCUUUAUUUGUGACUUCCACUAAAAAAACCUGAUGAAAAUAAGUUUGCCAGGGUUCUGACUGAUAACAGGU